GAUGAACGCUAGCGGCAGGCUUAAUACAUGCAAGUCGAGGGGCAGCAGGUUUGUAGCAAUACAGAUGCUGGCGACCGGCAAACGGGUGCGGAACACGUACAGAACCUUCCUUCGAGCGGGGAAUAGCCCAGAGAAAUUUGGAUUAAUACCCCAUAGCAUUAUGGAGUGGCAUCACUUUAUAAUUAAAGAUUAUCACUUGAAGAUGGCUGUGCGGCUGAUUAGAUAGUUGGUGAGGUAACGGACUCACCAAGUCUACGAUCAGUAACUGGUGGUGAGAGCACGACCAGUCACACGGGC
This 297-nucleotide ribosomal RNA is filed under the name uncultured bacterium. RNAcentral describes it as "partial 16S ribosomal RNA". It matches the Rfam family "Bacterial small subunit ribosomal RNA", at positions 28 to 317 of the family's 1533-position model. The record is from RNAcentral.